This 1000-nucleotide ribosomal RNA is filed under the name uncultured bacterium. RNAcentral describes it as "bacterial SSU rRNA". It matches the Rfam family "Bacterial small subunit ribosomal RNA", at positions 356 to 1376 of the family's 1533-position model. The record is from RNAcentral.
GGGGAAUAUUGCACAAUGGAGGAAACUCUGAUGCAGCGAUGCCGCGUGAGGGAAGAAGGUUUUAGGAUUGUAAACCUCUGUCUUCGGGGACGAAAAAAAGACGGUACCUGAGGAGGAAGCUCCGGCUAACUACGUGCCAGCAGCCGCGGUAAUACGUAGGGAGCGAGCGUUGUCCGGAAUUACUGGGUGUAAAGGGAGCGUAGGCGGGAUCGCAAGUCAGAUGUGAAAACUAUGGGCUUAACCCAUAAACUGCAUUUGAAACUGUGGUUCUUGAGUGAAGUAGAGGUAAGCGGAAUUCCUAGUGUAGCGGUGAAAUGCGUAGAUAUUAGGAGGAACAUCAGUGGCGAAGGCGGCUUACUGGGCUUUAACUGACGCUGAGGCUCGAAAGCGUGGGGAGCAAACAGGAUUAGAUACCCUGGUAGUCCACGCCGUAAACGAUGAUUACUAGGUGUGGGGGGACUGACCCCUUCCGUGCCGCAGCAAACGCAAUAAGUAAUCCACCUGGGGAGUACGACCGCAAGGUUGAAACUCAAAGGAAUUGACGGGGGCCCGCACAAGCAGUGGAGUAUGUGGAUUAAUUCGAAGCAACGCGAAGAACCUUACCAGGUCUUGACAUCGUAUGCAUAGCUCAGAGAUGAGUGAAAUCUCUUCGGAGACAUAUAGACAGGUGGUGCAUGGUUGUCGUCAGCUCGUGUCGUGAGAUGUUGGGUUAAGUCCCGCAACGAGCGCAACCCUUACUGUUAGUUGCUACGCAAGAGCACUCUAGCAGGACUGCCGUUGACAAAACGGAGGAAGGUGGGGAUGACGUCAAAUCAUCAUGCCCCUUAUGACCUGGGCCUCACACGUACUACAAUGGCUGUCAACAGAGGGAUGCAAAGCCGCGAGGUGGAGCAAAUCCCAAAAAUAACGUCUCAGUUCGGACUGCAGUCUGCAACUCGACUGCACGAAGCUGGAAUCGCUAGUAAUCGCGAAUCAGAAUGUCGCGGUGAAUACGUUCCCG